This 3200-nucleotide long non-coding RNA is filed under the name Homo sapiens (human). RNAcentral describes it as "LHRI_LNC1810.1". The record is from RNAcentral. Lineage: Eukaryota; Metazoa; Chordata; Mammalia; Primates; Hominidae.
AGGUGAUAGCGGAGCGGCUGGGUAGGAAGCAAUUGUUCUCAAACUUCACUAGCCCCGUCGGCGCGGACGCUUGUCGAGAAUGCAGAUUCCUGGGUACUGCCAGAUACGAAUUGAGCAUACCACAAAAAAGUUCUCAUUUUGUGUCCUCCCAUCCCAUUCUCCUCACUAACCAAAGCUAUUACUACUGAACUAUUUCACAAACCCAUUUUGAAAGUCAAAAACCGAGCACUGAGUCUUUCUCUGUAAUCCAGCUACACCAACCCUAAUCUUCUCUGAGGUGAUGCACAGCUGUCACUGGGGAGAAAUGGAAUGCCAGGAAAUGCACAAAGGAAAAGCAUCCUGACAAAUGUUUUCAGCCUUAUGCGCCACACCACUAAAGAACAUUGCCACCUGCUGUAGGAUAUGAAGCUUCUGAAGCACAUGAGAAGUAAGAGGAAACAAUGGUCAUGCCCCCAAAGGUCUUGCUCCACAGAACUGGAGGGACACGUUCUGAAGAAUCCCAGAUUGCAUUCCAGAUGCACCCCAUGGAAACAUGGGACUUUGGUCCUUUUCCAACACCAGGUCACAAGGAGAAAGCUCAUUUUGCAGCUACUCACAGUUACUAGCAGGGCCAUCAUCCUUAACAUUUUUCUGUUGACUCAGAUCUCAGUGAUUUGUAGAAGGAUAAAUUAUCUAAGUAUGAAUUUCCUCUUAAUUCUGAAUAGAAUCUUAUAAUAGCCUCUAUCCUGUUACGACGUUCCCAGUAGUCUUAUGAAUUCAGUAGGGAAUAAACCAGCUGUUUCCAUUUCAUGGGGAGGGCGGGAGGAACAAUCUUGGACUUUUUCUUUUUUUCAACCAAUGUUUAUUGAACCCUUAUUGUGAACCAGGAGCUGUAUUAGGCUCUGAGAAUACACAGUUAGCCUGAACCUACAUGAUGCUUAUACUAGGGAAGAAGACACAUAAACAGAUACUUUUAUUAUAAAAUGGUAGAAAUAAUUACUAGGUGUCAAAGGUUCAAAGUUGAAGGGUAUCACUCAGCCUUCCUGGAGGAGCUGAGACUUGAAUUAAGACUUGAAGGAUGGGCCAGAUGCCAAGUGGGGAGAAGAGCUCUGUUGAUCUGUUCAUUGUGGUAUCCCUACCACCCCACCACAUGGUCUAGUACAUGGAAGACAUUUAAUACAGUGAAUUUGCGAAAGAAAUCUCAGCAGAGGAAAUGUUAUAAGCACAAACAAGGCACGGGAAACUAGAAAUGAUUUGGAUUUACGAGAAGAUUAAUCCUUAUAGGAUCAUAGAUUUCUCUGAAAAACUAAUAGAAGCUAUGGUCCGUCUUCCUACCAAAAUUAACAUACACUCAACAUUUAACAGGUAAUUUUAGGGGGAUACAGAUAUGCCUGAAACUUGUACACACUGAGAAAUCUCUGUUAUAGGGAAUUGGGAGCAUUGAGGUUUUUAAAAACAUCUUUAUUUUAUUUAUUAUAAAGUAGGGGAAUGACAUAACUUAGAGUUACUUUGGAUGCAUAGUGAAGGAUGGGCUUAAGGAAGAUAAGACUAGAUGUGGCAGUUCACUUAAGAGGUUGCUGAAAUAAUUCUGGGUGAGUUAGCCAGAACUAGGAGUGAAGACACGGGCAUGGAGAAGAGUAGUGGGGUGAAGAAUACUUUAAGCGGUAAAACUGGCCUUGCUGGUGUUUGGUUGGAUUUGAGAGCAAGGAAUGGGAAGGAGCUAAGGUUGACUUUCAGGUUUUUUGAAGGACAGGGCAGAUGGUGGUGCUAGUAAUUGAGAUAGGAAAUGCAGGAAAAGAGGUUUGGGUCAGGAAUGGGCUGAUGGAGAGUCUGGGGACGGGAGAAAUGAGGAGUUUGGGUUUGGCCAUGUUGAGAUCACUUGAGGCGACCAGGUAAUGACAGAUACGAGCGAAGUGGAAGGAUAAUGGGGAGAUGCUGUAAACUUUAAGGAGCAAAGGAUUAUGGGAGAGUGGAGUGGGGGUCCAGCAUAUGUUUUCACUUAAUUGGGCAGUGAGGAGGACUGGUGGCCACUGAGUCUGAGGAAUGUGGGGAGUAAGAUCAUAAGGCAGCUCCUCAAACAAGGGUUGGCGGAGGGCCAGUGUCUUCAGGAGCUAUGUUAAUUUCCCAGGGCUGCCACAACCAAGCACCACAAACUGGGUGACUUAAAACAACUGGAAUUUAUUGUCUCACAGUUCUUGGGGCUAGAAGUCAGAAAUCAGAGUGAAGCAGGAGAAGAAGGUCUGAAGGCAGGGAACCUGAGGCCAUUUCAUGCAGACUUCCUAGAACUAAAUUCAUGCAGACUUCCUAGAACUUUCCAUGCCUAAGUAACAAAAGGACCAGAGGCUAUUCCCUUUGCAAACCCCCACCUUUUCUGUGUGGCAGAUGGGAAAUCUAAAGUACCUCAAUUUGCAUACGAGUGUAACUUUGUUUGCUUUGGAGUGUAACUUUGUAACUUCACUCCAGCCUCUGAUUGGUUGCUGUCCACAACCAAUCAAAAUGAUUGCAGGCCGAGUCUUCGUUUGCAUAGAAGUGCGGCUUUGUAACUUCACUUCAGUCUCUGAUUGUGGGCCACCACUUCAUUUACAUGAGGUGAGCACCAAGUGGCCAAUGGGAAACCUCUAGGGGGUAUUUGGAUCAGAGAAGAUUCUGUAUCCGGGCCCAUGAGCCUGCUGGUGCCGCUCCCACGCUGUGGAGUAUACUUUAACUUUCAAUAAAUCCUUGCUUUCAUUCUUUCAUUGCUUCAUUCUUUUCUUGCUUUGCUGUGAGUUUUGUCCGAUUCUUUGUUCAAAAUGCCAAGAACCUGGACAACUUGCAGUCAAGACCCUCUACCGAUAACAAAGGUGCUGGCAGGAUCAUGCUUCCUGUGAAAUUUAGCGAAAUCCUUCUGCCUCUUCCUAGCUUCUGGUGGUUUGCUGGCAAUCUUUAGUGUUCUUUGGCUUGUGGAAGCAUCACCUUACUCUCGGCCUGUGUUAUUGCAUGGCGUUCUCCCUGGGUCUGUUUUCUCAUGUGGCCCUCUUAUAAGGACCCCAGUCUUAUUGGAUUACAGACCCAUGCUGCUCCAGUAUCACCUCAUCUUAAUUAAUUACAUCAGCAACGGCCCUAUUUCCAAAUAAGGUCACAUUCUAAGGUACUGGAGUCAGGACUUCAACAUACGUUUUAGCAGGGGAUAAGUUCUACCCAUAGCAGGGAAGUUACUAUUUCUAGUUCAAGGAGAAAACAGA